Podarcis muralis (Common wall lizard) is the source of this 1555-nucleotide long non-coding RNA. NCBI's taxonomy places the organism in Eukaryota, Metazoa, Chordata, Lepidosauria, Squamata, Lacertidae. The record is from Ensembl.
GGGAAAGUUUUGAUGUGGGGAGAUUAAUCCUUACGGGUGUUUUCCAAUCAGUGCUUCCAUUUGGCUCUUAUGGCUAUUGCCAGACCUAACACCCACAAAUUGAUGUCAUUGUUUAUUUUAAAAAGCCAUCCACUUGCCAUCACUAGAUUUUAUGGUGGUAUGUUCCAUAAGUUAAUCGGCCAGUGGCUGGGGAUGGUGGAAUGUGGAGCCCAACCACUUGGGGGGGGGGGAGUCCUGGUUUCCCACCACUGCUAUAAAGCAUCACACAUAUCAAUAGACCUAUAAAGAUGAGAUCACUGUUCUCUCGUAUGGCAAAGCACUGCUAGGGAGCCACCUAGUGGCCAGAAGUGAAAUAGAGCUUUGUCUAAAAAGCAAGGUUUCCCCCCAAUCCGAGGGACUGGACCUUUGUCACGUGGCAGUGAUAAUCUUACUUGAACAGAUGCAGUGCAGUCCCCUCACUUCUCAGGACAUGCUGUGGGACAGCUGGCUUCAGGCACCAGGCCCCUUGGCAGACCAACACCAUGUUACAAAGAUGUUCUGGAAGCUGGCAGCAUCAACCCCACCAUGUGGGAAUCCCUUGCACAUGACUGCAGUGCCUGGAGACAAACAGGCAUCUAUAACAUCUAUUUCAGUGACCAGAGGACGGAUGACCGCUGGGAGGAGCACAGAGAGAAAAAAUGCCAUGGUGCAUCUGCAGUGGCUCAACUGGAUGCCUUCCUCUGCCCCAGCUGCAACAAAACAUGUCUCUCCCACAUCGGUCUCUACAGCCACAGCAGAUCUUGUAACCUUCCAGCAGUUUGACUUUACCCCCAGAGGUGCACUCCUCCAUUGUCUCCUGAAACAGAGAGAUGCUAACCAUUCCUAUUAGCUGUUUUGGGCAAUUUUAACAGAAAGGUGGGAUAUAAAACAAAGGAACAAACCAAAUCAAAUAUCUUUAAUACGGUCAAUGACCAGCAAGCAAUUUAUGAAAUAAAAUAUGACAUUAUAAGUAAUAUUGUGCUACAGGUAACAGUGGAAAUAUGGCCAAAUCACAGAAUUGGUGCUUAUGUUUAUGACCAGGUUUCGACUUUUAAGGUUUUAAGGAUUCAAUUCAAAUGUCACUACUGUUUAUUAUCGUUCCUUCGAUGUUUACAAUUUGGACUCCAUUGCUGACAUCAUUGCUCGUCUUAUUCUUGUUGCAAUGUAGCAGUACUUUGCCACUGGCCUGUUGAUUUCGGGCUCUUUGUCAGCUAAGAGGUGUCUGAUAUAGGUGUCGUCUGUACUACGAGGUAUUUUCCUCAGAAUCGGCUCGAUCAGUUCUUUUCUUGAGUCUCGAUAUAAUAGGCAAUAUAAUAUGACAUGCCCGAUGGUUUCGAUUUCGUUGUUGUUACAGGGACAUAAUCUUUGUUCGAUCGGUAUUUUGUUAUAUCUUCCCUCUAGAAGAGCUGAAGGGAGAGCAUUAAAGCGGGCCCUGGAAAAUGCCCAUCGGUGUUUAGCGUUCUGUAGAACUUUGAGAUAGUUUGCUAGAUGGGGCCUUUGGGAAUUGAAUAGGAGUUUAUGAUUAAAGGAAGUUGAU